GGCCGUCUAUCUUAAUGUCAUAACGACUCUCGGCAACGGAUAUCUCGGCUCUCGCAUCGAUGAAGAACGUAGCGAAAUGCGAUACUUGGUGUGAAUUGCAGAAUCCCGUGAACCAUCGAGUCUUUGAACGCAAGUUGCGCCCGAAGCCAUUAGGCCGAGGGCACGUCUGCCUGGGCGUCACGCAUCGCGUCGCCCCCCCUCCCUGCGCUCAGCGCGG
This 217-nucleotide ribosomal RNA is filed under the name Nepeta mirzayanii. Its description in RNAcentral is "5.8S ribosomal RNA". The stretch from base 25 to 180 matches the Rfam family "5.8S ribosomal RNA". Rfam says of the family: 5.8S ribosomal RNA (5.8S rRNA) is a component of the large subunit of the eukaryotic ribosome. It is transcribed by RNA polymerase I as part of the 45S precursor that also contains 18S and 28S rRNA. The record is from RNAcentral. Lineage: Eukaryota; Viridiplantae; Streptophyta; Magnoliopsida; Lamiales; Lamiaceae.